CUCAAAUGCAGCUUCCCCAAAAGGAAGCCCAGACAUUGAGCAAAGAAAUAAAGCACUAACUCAAAGACAGAAACUAACCCAAAAUAUUCCCUUUGCAGUGCUUUUCACUAAAAUCAUGUCACAGCAGUGCUCCUGUGUCUGGCCAAUACUCAUGUCCACAUGAGUAGCUGUGUGUGUUGGGUGUGGGACUUUGCCAGCUGUUACAGAGGCUGAGAGUUUAUAAAGACUUACAAGCAAUACCUGACUUCUUUGUAUCCAGCUGGUGUUUUCAUCCUUUAAGCUAAAAGUGGUGCAGGUGGGGCUGUUCUUUCUAGGGUGAACAGCUGAGUGGAGGAGGGAGGAGAAACUCCUGACCCACAGUGAGCAGAGGGAAGGAAGUUUGGUCAUCUUUAGGAAGCUCACUAUAAGGAAAACUGGGAAGAUGUAGUUCAAAGCUCUGACUGAGGAGGAAUCCCAUCAGGCUUUCCCCUGCCUGGUACAGGAGAGACCCAACCUGCAUGGCUUGCUGCUAGUUAAUAUUUGGGCAAUGACACCACGCUCUCCCUAACUCAAUUAAGAUAUGAGAAAGUGAGGAGCUGGUGGAGGCCAGCAGCUCUUAGCCUGCUGAGCUGAGGCAAGCCAUGCUCCUGUUCCUACCCUAAGCACAAGCAAUGACCUGGCAGCAAGCUGUGUAACUCACAUUGGCUGUUCUCAUGGAUGGAAUGCUUUUGGGGUUAAUUUUGUGGAAUUCAGCAGAGAAAUAAAACACAAAAUAAUGCUGCAUCGAAAAAAAAAAAUAUUGCAACAUAAGUUGAAAAGCCAAAACUGAAGGGCAAAGGUGGCAGGAAAGGAGGCACAGUACAUAAUUUCUGAUGGCAAAAUAACAUCUCACAGUUAGUGCGUUCAAAUCUGUUUCUAGCAACUAAUAGUUCUUUCUUUUGGAUUGGGGGGAUUAGCAGUAACAGGUGAUAGGACUUUAAAAUGAAAACAUUAAAAUAGUCUACUUACCAAAG
Molecule: long non-coding RNA, 992 nt
Filed under: Anser brachyrhynchus (Pink-footed goose)
Lineage: Eukaryota; Metazoa; Chordata; Aves; Anseriformes; Anatidae
Description: lncRNA (ENSABRG00000012296.1)
Source: RNAcentral